This 393-nucleotide ribosomal RNA is filed under the name uncultured bacterium. RNAcentral describes it as "partial 16S ribosomal RNA". It matches the Rfam family "Bacterial small subunit ribosomal RNA", at positions 523 to 918 of the family's 1533-position model. The record is from RNAcentral.
CUACGGAAGGUCCGGGCGCUAUCCGGAUUUAUUGGGUUUAAAGGGAGCGCAGGCGGAGAUGCAAGCGUGACGUCAAAUUUCGGGGCUCAACCCCGUCUCGCGUCGCGAACUGCGUCCCUUGGUUGCGGGAAGGGGAGGGGGAACUCGGGGUGUAGCGGGGAAAUGCAUAGAUGUCACGAAGAACUCCGAUCGCGAAGGCAGCCUUCCGGCCCGUCAACGACGCUCAUGCUCGAAGGUGCGGGUAUCAAACAGGAUUAGAUACCCUGGUAGUCCGCACAGUAAACGAUGGACACCCGCGGUUUGGCCUGUAUGGCUGAGCCGCCAAGCGAAAGCGUUAAGUGUCCCACCUGGGGAGUACGCCGGCAACGGUGAAACUCAAAGGAAUUGGCGGGG